RNAcentral lists this transfer RNA (72 nucleotides) under Chloroflexota bacterium. Its description in RNAcentral is "tRNA-Met". It matches the Rfam family "tRNA". Rfam says of the family: Transfer RNA (tRNA) molecules are approximately 80 nucleotides in length. Their secondary structure includes four short double-helical elements and three loops (D, anti-codon, and T loops). Further hydrogen bonds mediate the characteristic L-shaped molecular structure. tRNAs have two regions of fundamental functional importance: the anti-codon, which is responsible for specific mRNA codon recognition, and the 3' end, to which the tRNAs corresponding amino acid is attached (by aminoacyl-tRNA synthetases). tRNAs cope with the degeneracy of the genetic code in two manners: having more than one tRNA (with a specific anti-codon) for a particular amino acid; and 'wobble' base-pairing, i.e. permitting non-standard base-pairing at the 3rd anti-codon position. Lineage: Bacteria; Bacillati; Chloroflexota. The record is from RNAcentral. RNAcentral also lists the same sequence under 5 other names.
UGCGGGGUAGAGCAGAGGCAGCUCGUCGGGCUCAUAACCCGGAGGUCGCGCGUUCGAAUCGCGCCCCCGCUA